UGCGGUUUUGCUCCCUUUUUUUUCUUUUUCUUUUUCUUUUUCUUUUUUGGGUGGUUUGGUUUGGGUUGGGUUGGGGUCGUUCGAUCGAAAUGGCAGCGCGAUGCGGGCCGGCCCAUCUCGGGCCGAUCUCGUGUCAGCCGUCGGAUAUUUACCAGAUCGUUCUCAGUCGUCCGAUAAAAUUUCAGUUGUACCCUUUCAUAAAUUCCAUGUCCCAUCGGGGUAGUUUCGUCAUUUUUGAGACAUAAAGAAGGCAGGAGCUCCCCGUGCUAAACCCUAGCCGCCACCAAUUCUGGGUCGUUCGAUUGAAAUCGCAGCGCGACGUGGGCCGGCCCAUCUCGGGCUGAUCUCGUGUGAGCCGUCGGAUAUUUACCAGGUCGUUCUUAGUCGUGUGAUAAAAUUUCAGUUGCACCCUUUCGUAAAUUCCAUGCCCCCACUGGGGUAGUUUUGUCAUUUUUGAGACAUAAAAAGGACAGCAGCUCCCCGUGCUAAACCCUAGCCGCCACCAAUUUUGGGUCGUUUGAUUGAAAUCACAGCGCGACGUGGGCCGGCCCAUCUCGGGCUGAUCUCGUGUGAGCCGUCGGAUAUUUACCAGGUCGUUCUUAGUCGUGUGAUAAAAUUUCAGUUGCACCCUUUCGUAAAUUCCAUGCCCCCACCGGGGUAGUUUUGUCAUUUU
RNAcentral lists this long non-coding RNA (673 nucleotides) under Triticum aestivum (bread wheat). Its description in RNAcentral is "long non-coding RNA (TAES_LNC009123)". The record is from RNAcentral. Lineage: Eukaryota; Viridiplantae; Streptophyta; Magnoliopsida; Poales; Poaceae.